AAGACAGCUGGAUGAUAGCCGGGCGUGAAGACUCUGCUUGACUAGCUGAGAGGAGGUGCAUGGCCGUCGUCAGUUCGUACUGUGAAGCAUCCUGUUAAGUCAGGCAACGAGCGAGACCCACGCCAACAGUUGCCAGCAUGUCCUCCGGGAUGAUGGGGACACUGUUGGGACCGCCUCUGCUAAAGAGGAGGAAGGAAUGGGCAACGGUAGGCCAGCAUGCCCCGAAUUAUCCGGGCUACACGCGGGCUACAAUGGUCAGGACAAUGGGUAUCGACACCGAGAGGUGGAGGCAAUCUCCUAAACCUGUCCUUAGUUCGGAUUGUGGGCUGCAACUCGCCCACAUGAAGCUGGAAUCCGUAGUAAUCGCGUUUCAAAAUAGCGCGGUGAAUAUGUCCCUGCUCCUU
This 404-nucleotide ribosomal RNA is filed under the name uncultured Methanolinea sp. Its description in RNAcentral is "bacterial SSU rRNA". It matches the Rfam family "Archaeal small subunit ribosomal RNA", at positions 936 to 1338 of the family's 1478-position model. The record is from RNAcentral. Lineage: Archaea; Methanobacteriati; Methanobacteriota; Methanomicrobia; Methanomicrobiales; Methanoregulaceae.